UACGGAGGGUGCGAGCGUUAAUCGGAAUGACUGGGCGUAAAGGGCAUGUAGGCGGAUGAUUAAGUUAGGUGUGAAAGCCCUAGGCUCAACCUAGGAAUUGCACUUAAAACUGGUCAUCUGGAGUAUUGUAGAGGAAGGUAGAAUUCCACGUGUAGCGGUGAAAUGCGUAGAGAUGUGGAGGAAUACCGGUGGCGAAGGCGGCCUUCUGGACAGAUACUGACGCUGAGAUGCGAAAGCGUGGGGAGCAAAC
This 250-nucleotide ribosomal RNA is filed under the name uncultured bacterium. RNAcentral describes it as "partial 16S ribosomal RNA". It matches the Rfam family "Bacterial small subunit ribosomal RNA", at positions 524 to 773 of the family's 1533-position model. The record is from RNAcentral.